Long non-coding RNA from Cebus imitator (Panamanian white-faced capuchin), 381 nucleotides. RefSeq lists it as uncharacterized. The record is from RefSeq and is a predicted model, not a curated record. The transcript is spliced from 2 exons. NCBI's taxonomy places the organism in Eukaryota, Metazoa, Chordata, Mammalia, Primates, Cebidae.
CUCUUGACCUCGUGAUCCACCCGCCUCGGCCUCCCAAAGUGCUGGGAUUACAGGCUUGAGCCACCGCGCCCGGCCCAGAUUUUGUUCUUAUUACUUAUCUUAGCUCUUCAGACAAGCUGCCUUGUCAAUAAAGUAUGGGACAGGAAGGGCUUUGUGCCAUUGGCUAAAUUUCUUUCUCCUCGGCCAGGUGGCUGAAGAUGAAGUGAGCGAUAACAGUGCCGAGUGUGUGGUGUGUCUCUCGGAUGUCCGGGACACCUUGAUUCUGCCCUGUCGCCACCUCUGCCUCUGUAACACCUGUGCAGACACCCUUCGCUACCAGGCCAACAACUGCCCCAUCUGCCGACUGCCCUUCCGGGCACUGCUUCAGAUCCGAGCCAUGAG